CUCUGGACUACAUAAUGUUGGUUAUGCGUGUGGCUGAACUCCUCCUAAUUACUGUGAUUACAGUUCUUCUCAUCAGAGCUCGAGGAGCAAGACGAUGAAGGUGACGGUGCCUUCGGAGCCCCUGUUCCCUCUGUGAGACUCCACUGAUCAACAACUUCCACGUAAACAUCAACUCAAAAAAGAGAGAAGCAAACCUUGCAACAUAAUUUUGAGUAGUUUCUUAGGUGUUGAAAAACAUACGUCUAAAUUGUUUCCAUGUUUAAUAAUUUAGGCUUUAAAAUUUUGCUCAUACCUGUAUGUUUGUGUAAACGAGAGAUUAACGGACUUUCAUUUAUAACACUGAUGUAAAACGUGUUUUUGUGCACUUUGUUGUGUGUUUUUAAAUGAGCUUUCAGCCAUAACAGAGUGUAUUUACUAUAAAUGAGAAAAGUGUAAUCUGCAAAUACAAAAGUGUUUGGAAACCAA
This is a long non-coding RNA of Micropterus dolomieu (smallmouth bass), 465 nucleotides long. RefSeq lists it as uncharacterized. Lineage: Eukaryota; Metazoa; Chordata; Actinopteri; Centrarchiformes; Centrarchidae. The transcript has 2 exons. The record is from RefSeq and is a predicted model, not a curated record.